UGCGCAGGCGGUGUGCUAAGUCGGAUGUGAAAUCUCACAGCCUAACUGUGAUAGGUCAUUCGAAACUGGCAUGCUAGAGGACUGGAGAGGAGACUGGAAUGGUCGGUGUAGCGGUGAAAUGCGUAGAGAUCGACCAGAACACCGGUGGCGAAGGCGGGUCUCUGGACAGUUCCUGAGCUCAGGCACGAGGCCAGGGGAGCAAACG
Molecule: ribosomal RNA, 205 nt
Filed under: uncultured bacterium
Lineage: Bacteria
Description: partial 16S ribosomal RNA
Rfam family: Bacterial small subunit ribosomal RNA
Source: RNAcentral